Molecule: ribosomal RNA, 780 nt
Filed under: Bacillus pumilus
Lineage: Bacteria; Bacillati; Bacillota; Bacilli; Caryophanales; Bacillaceae
Description: bacterial SSU rRNA
Rfam family: Bacterial small subunit ribosomal RNA
Source: RNAcentral
GAAUGGCGGCGAGUCCAAUACAUGCAAGUCGAGCGGACAGAAGGGAGCUUGCUCCCGGAUGUUAGCGGCGGACGGGUGAGUAACACGUGGGUAACCUGCCUGUAAGACUGGGAUAACUCCGGGAAACCGGAGCUAAUACCGGAUAGUUCCUUGAACCGCAUGGUUCAAGGAUGAAAGACGGUUUCGGCUGUCACUUACAGAUGGACCCGCGGCGCAUUAGCUAGUUGGUGGGGUAAUGGCUCACCAAGGCGACGAUGCGUAGCCGACCUGAGAGGGUGAUCGGCCACACUGGGACUGAGACACGGCCCAGACUCCUACGGGAGGCAGCAGUAGGGAAUCUUCCGCAAUGGACGAAAGUCUGACGGAGCAACGCCGCGUGAGUGAUGAAGGUUUUCGGAUCGUAAAGCUCUGUUGUUAGGGAAGAACAAGUGCGAGAGUAACUGCUCGCACCUUGACGGUACCUAACCAGAAAGCCACGGCUAACUACGUGCCAGCAGCCGCGGUAAUACGUAGGUGGCAAGCGUUGUCCGGAAUUAUUGGGCGUAAAGGGCUCGCAGGCGGUUUCUUAAGUCUGAUGUGAAAGCCCCCGGCUCAACCGGGGAGGGUCAUUGGAAACUGGGAAACUUGAGUGCAGAAGAGGAGAGUGGAAUUCCACGUGUAGCGGUGAAAUGCGUAGAGAUGUGGAGGAACACCAGUGGCGAAGGCGACUCUCUGGUCUGUAACUGACGCUGAGGAGCGAAAGCGUGGGGAGCGAACAGGAUUAGAUACCCUGGGUAGUCC